RNAcentral lists this ribosomal RNA (531 nucleotides) under Russula lateriticola. Its description in RNAcentral is "mitochondrial SSU rRNA". It matches the Rfam family "Bacterial small subunit ribosomal RNA", at positions 359 to 952 of the family's 1533-position model. Lineage: Eukaryota; Fungi; Basidiomycota; Agaricomycetes; Russulales; Russulaceae. The record is from RNAcentral.
GAAUAUUAGUCAAUGCUCGAAAGAGUGAACUAGCUAACUGAAAUCAAUAAGAAAAAUUGAUAACAUAAGGGAAAAUAAUGAUAUUACCUUAUUAUUAGUGUCGUCCAAAUCUGGUGCCAGAAGACUCGGUAAGGCCAGAGACAUAAACGUUAAUCGUCUUAAUCAGGCGUAAAGGGUUUGUAGGCGGCUUUAAAUUUAUUUAAAAUAAAGAAUAAAAGCUAGAAUCAAAUAGAGGAAAUAUUAAAUAAUGCUUAGAGUAGGUCUGAUAUCCUUAGAUACUAAGUAGAAUAUUAAAGGCGAAAGCUUUUUUCCAUUGAUGAUUGACGCUCAGAAACGAAGGUGAGGAUAGGAAAUAGGAUUAGAUACCCAAAAUACCCCUCUCUGUCAACGAUGAAUGGUAGUUAUUAGUAAUAAUUAUUAAUGGCAAUGUUAACACGAUAACCAUUCCGCCUUGUGAGUACAACUGCAAAGUUGAAAACAAAAAAAUUAGUCGGUUUCGGAGCAAACGAAGUGAAGCAUGUUAUUUAAUUC